GUGGGGAAUAUUGGGCAAUGGGCGAAAGCCUGACCCAGCAACGCCGCGUGAAGGAAGAAGGCUUUCGGGUUGUAAACUUCUUUUACCAGGGACGAAGGACGUGACGGUACCUGGAGAAAAAGCUCCGGCUAACUACGUGCCAGCAGCCGCGGUAAUACGUAGGGAGCGAGCGUUGUCCGGAUUUACUGGGUGUAAAGGGCGUGUAGGCGGAGACGCAAGUCAGGAGUGAAAUCCCCGGGCUCAACCCGGGAACUGCUUUUGAAACUGCGUCCCUUGAGUAUCGGAGAGGCAGGCGGAAUUCCUAGUGUAGCGGUGAAAUGCGUAGAUAUUAGGAGGAACACCAGUGGCGAAGGCGGCCUGCUGGACGACAACUGACGCUGAGGCGCGAAAGCGUGGGGAGCAAACAGGA
RNAcentral lists this ribosomal RNA (409 nucleotides) under uncultured bacterium. Its description in RNAcentral is "bacterial SSU rRNA". It matches the Rfam family "Bacterial small subunit ribosomal RNA", at positions 354 to 777 of the family's 1533-position model. The record is from RNAcentral.